RNAcentral lists this ribosomal RNA (119 nucleotides) under Pteropus alecto (black flying fox). Lineage: Eukaryota; Metazoa; Chordata; Mammalia; Chiroptera; Pteropodidae. The record is from RNAcentral.
GUCUAUGGCCAUGCUGCCCUGAACAAACCCGAUCCCGUCUGAUUUCGUAAGCUAAGCAGGGUCGGGCCUGGUUAGUACUUGGAUGAGAGACCCCCUAGGAAGACCAGGUGCUAUAGGCG